RNAcentral lists this ribosomal RNA (248 nucleotides) under uncultured bacterium. Its description in RNAcentral is "partial 16S ribosomal RNA". It matches the Rfam family "Bacterial small subunit ribosomal RNA", at positions 15 to 244 of the family's 1533-position model. The record is from RNAcentral.
GAUCAUGGCUCAGGAUGAACGCUGGCGGCGUGCUUAACACAUGCAAGUCGAACGAAACACCUUAUUUGAUUUUCUUCGGAACUGAAGAUUUGGUGAUUGAGUGGCGGACGGGUGAGUAACGCGUGGGUAACCUACCCUGUACAGGGGGAUAACAGUCAGAAAUGACUGCUAAUACCGCAUAAGACCACAGCACCGCAUGGUGCAGGGGUAAAACUCCGGUGGUACAGGAUGGACCCGCGUCUGAUUAG